UACGUAGGUGGCGAGCGUUGUCCGGAUUUACUGGGCGUAAAGCGCCCGCAGGCGGCUCGGCAAGUCUGAGGUGAAAUCUCCCGGCUCAACUGGGAGGGUGCCCCGGAAACUGCCAGGCUCGAGGCAGGGAGAGGGAUGUGGAAUUCCCGGUGUAGUGGUGAAAUGCGUAGAUAUCGGGAGGAACACCAGUGGCGAAGGCGGCAUCCUGGCCCUGUCCUGACGCUCAGGGGCGAAAGCGUGGGGAGCAAACCGGAUUAGAAACCCCAGUAGUCC
This 273-nucleotide ribosomal RNA is filed under the name uncultured bacterium. RNAcentral's name for it is "partial 16S ribosomal RNA". It matches the Rfam family "Bacterial small subunit ribosomal RNA", at positions 524 to 796 of the family's 1533-position model. The record is from RNAcentral.